This 443-nucleotide non-coding RNA is filed under the name Pongo abelii (Sumatran orangutan). Lineage: Eukaryota; Metazoa; Chordata; Mammalia; Primates; Hominidae. The record is from RNAcentral.
CUUUGACAUCAGCACAGCUUUGAAAGGGGGAUGGGAGAGCGAGCAGAAAGCAGAAAAACCAGCUUUGAACUAUGCAUGCAAGGCCUCUUUCAAGCCUCAAAUUCUAUAAGGACGGCUUGAGCCAGGGCAGUUCAGAAACACUGGAGGAGCAGAGGCAGCAGGGCGCUGGACCAGACAGAGGACGGGACUGUCCAAGGAGUGGUCUCCGUGUGAGGCAAUGAGCUGAGAUUACAGCUGGCAGCUAGAAACCACACCCCGUGGGUGCCACCCAGAGAGAGCUGAGACUGACCAUGGAGUAACGGCCGAGGUCAUGUGUGUAGCCCCGGGCCAUGGAGAGGGGGUACCCUGGAGGGGCUGGGCUGGUUGGCUGGGCUCAGGCUGACAGCCAACGGGCUCCCCAGUGUUCCGAAGAGGGAGUGGCCCUGGUGGUGCCUUUCUGUGGC